GUACUAUCUGGAAAAUAAAAUAAAAAAAAGAACAAAAAAUAGUUCAAAAAAAACAACACAUUAUUUCCAAGACAAAGACCCAAUAUUAGUACGUAUCUAUACAUUUAUACGUACAUAUUUUUCUGUGUGUGUUAAAAUACACACCCCGUUUUUUUCUGUAAGAUCUACAAAACCCAUGAACAAUCUCGACUUUGUUGAUGGUUGACCAAAUGAAACGGUGCUCCAUCCUAACAUCGGCAUUGUCACCGAAGAAAUUAGAAGCUGGUGCAACAGAUAAAUGAAAACCAAAGGGAAAACAAACAAACAAUCAACCACACAAACAAACAAAGCAGACACACACAACAAUAAGAACAACAAGACACACUCACACACACACACACAGCAAGAAUGUCAGAGUAGAGUUGGAAGUGGGAGUGUCUGUGAAGGAGUGGGAGUGCAGUGGAGUUUCUGGUGAAUGAAGACCCCCCUUUCCGAUCAUGGGAAGAGUGCUGGGUGGGUGCAUACGAACCUGCCACACGGAAAGCGUGGCAGUUGGGGUGGGUGCGUAGGAUCGUGACUGACGGGAGUCGGCGUUGCUUUCUCAGGCGCCUUUGAACCCAAGUGUGAUUGAUUGACACGGAGUUGCUUACUUGAUGUGCAGUGUUUCACCCCCCCUACAAAGGUGUGAGAUGUUGACUGAUUCGUGAUGACCAGCAUCGAUUUCCAGGUUCAGAUUUGACGUGCAUCGUUCCUCACUGACACUUGGGUCGGGGUCGGGUCGGGUCGACUCGGGUGAAUAGGAUUGUGAGUAGCCCGCCUGAUUUCUCGCCGACUGCCAUUCUCCGAUCCCAUCUUUCGCUACCCCCAGAGAUGGCAGGUUGUUGGAUAGUUGGGAACGACGUUGUGGGCCCCAUAGACUGAUUCCGGACCUUAGAAUCAGAUUGGCGACGUCUACAUUGGAGAUUAUGUGAGGCAUUUGGUGGGCAUCUUGGUGGGCACUUGGUGGGCACUUUGUGGGCACUUUGUGGGCACUUGGUGGGCAUCGAGGUAGUUUGACCUUGUAUUCUCUUGCACUAAUAAGCAGUGCAGCCAAGAUCGCGUGCUAGUGGUGGAUCAUGCCAGAUGAACACGGACGGCCUAUUCUGAGAGCGAUUUCGGGAAUCCCAUGGCUUUGGUGUGAAAAUCAGGACUAUAAUUGGAUGAACACAGUGUCACCAGAGAAUAAAAACCGAUUAAGGCAACUCCUUAAGUCAAGAUGGUUUGGGAAAGUGUUCGUCCAUACCUUCGCAUGUGUGUGCGACGAUCUCCCUCUCCUGAACCGAGCGAUUACACCUUUAUGCAAAUGCUGGGCCAUGGCAAGCCUGACAUGCGGCUCCUCCAUAGUGAGAGAAACAGAAUCUUAAAGAGGUACCACUUCAUUUGGAUUCCAACAAUGGUGUUAUGCUGGACCGCUAUGAACUAAGCCUUUUUCUCGAAGAGAGCUACCAUAUCUUUCUCAUGUGGCACGAGACCCCUUUUGACCCUUAAAUCUCUCAUGGCAACAUGCUUUGCGCUUCCGGCAGCCAUGGCUUGCUGCAAGUCCAUAAGCCUCACAUUCUCUAGUCAAGUCUUCACUGCUCGUAUCAUCGAUGAUUAGAUACAUCCUAAAAUCAUCUCUUCUACAACUUCAAUUCAUAGUCGACUGAGAAGUUCCAAACACGAUCCUCGAUUCUAAACUGUUUCCAUUCAGAAGAAUUCCACACCAUGAGCCACUCCCUCUUCCUCCAGGAAAACUAUGCAGAAUGCCAUUAAUUGUGUCAAAUCCACUCUGACUUCAGGAUCCACCGUCAAUGACGAGUGUUUAUGCAGAGGUUUAGGGUUUCGACCAAUUCUCUUCCAAAAUCUCUGUUCAACAUGUUGAUUAAUUCCUUAACUGUUUUCUGGAUUUGUAUCAA
This is a long non-coding RNA of Physcomitrium patens, 1913 nucleotides long. RefSeq lists it as uncharacterized. The record is from RefSeq and is a predicted model, not a curated record. NCBI's taxonomy places the organism in Eukaryota, Viridiplantae, Streptophyta, Bryopsida, Funariales, Funariaceae.